GACGAAGGUGGCAAGCGUUGCUCGGAAUCACUGGGCAUAAAGCGCGCGUAGGUGGCUCGAUAAGUCGAUGGUGAAAUCCCAUGGCUCAACCAUGGAACUGCCACCGAAACUGUCGGGCUUGAGGACGGUAGGGGAGAGUGGAACUCCUGGUGUAGCGGUGAAAUGCGUAGAUAUCAGGAGGAACGCCGGUGGCGAAAGCGACUCUCUGGGCCGCUCCUGACACUGAUGUGCGAAAGCUAGGGGAGCAAACAGGAUUAGAUACCCUGGUAGUCCUAGCUGUAAACGAUGGGCACUAGGUAGAGGUGGUUUCGAAACCUCCUCUGCCGGAGCUAAUGUAUUAAGUGCCCCGCCUGGGGAGUAUGGUCGCAAGGCUAAA
Molecule: ribosomal RNA, 376 nt
Filed under: uncultured bacterium
Lineage: Bacteria
Description: bacterial SSU rRNA
Rfam family: Bacterial small subunit ribosomal RNA
Source: RNAcentral